CAGUCGCCACGGGAAUACGAAGGGUGCAAGCGUUAAUCGGAAUUACUGGGCGUAAAGGGUGCGUAGGCGGUUCGUUAAGUCUGUCGUGAAAUCCCCGGGCUCAACCUGGGAAUGGCGAUGGAUACUGGCGAGCUAGAGUGUGUCAGAGGAUGGUGGAAUUCCCGGUGUAGCGGUGAAAUGCGUAGAGAUCGGGAGGAACAUCAGUGGCGAAGGCGGCCAUCUGGGACAACACUGACGCUGAGGCACGAAAGCGUGGGGAGCAAACAGGAUUAGAGACCCCGGUAGUCCCUGUCUCUUAUAC
RNAcentral lists this ribosomal RNA (301 nucleotides) under uncultured bacterium. Its description in RNAcentral is "partial 16S ribosomal RNA". It matches the Rfam family "Bacterial small subunit ribosomal RNA", at positions 509 to 807 of the family's 1533-position model. The record is from RNAcentral.